CAGAGGGAGACUCCGUCUCAGGAAAAAGAAAAAAAAAAAGAGCCUCAUCUUUUUCUUUUCUUUUCUUUUGAGGCUUUGUUGAGAGUUUCUGGGAUACAUACCCAGUGUGGUAGGCAGCCUCUAAAACGGCUCCCAUUGAUUUCUGCCUCCUGAUAUUCAUGCUUUUUUUUAAUGCCCUUCCUUUUAAUAUGGACUAGGUCUAGUGAUUUUUUUCUAACAAAGAGAAUAUGUCAAAUGUAACGCGAUGUCACUUCUAAAAUUGGUUUACAGAGAGACUGUGACUUCUGUCUUGCUCGCCAUUUCUCAUUCUCUCUUUUUGGAGCUCUUGCUCUGGAGGAAGUGAGCUGCCAUGUUAUAAACUGCCCUAUGAAGAGGUCCAUGUGACAAGGAACUGAUGUCCCUGGCCAACAGCCAGUGAGGCCCUAAGGCCUGCAACACUCUGUGAGUGAGCCUGGAAAUGAAUCUUCUGAGCCUACCAACAACCACACUGAUCCUUAAAAUGGCUAUAGCUCCAGGUCCUUGAUUGCAGUCUUUCAAAAGACUGUGAUUCAGGGCAUUCAGGAAAGUCAUGUUUGAAUUUUUGACCCACGGAAACUUUGAGAUAAUAAGUGUUGUUUUAUUAUUUAUUUUUAAGCCACCAAAUCGGGGAGUAAUUUGUUACACAGAAAUAGAAAGUACAUCCAGGAAUGUGACUGUUGGGUUGUAGGAUGCAUAUGUAGGGGGAAAAUAACUCCCAUACGUUUGUAAUCGGAAAAGAUCCCCGUUACAAAAGACAGAUUAACAAGAGAAAAACAAGUUUAUUAACGUGUAUUUCAUAUGUACAAGGGAGAUAUCAAUGAUUAGUUCUCAAAGAAGUAGCUUUGAAUUCUAGCUUUUAUUUUAUUUUCAACAAAGAAGAGUAAAUUUUUAGAGAAGUGACAGCACAAAGGAAAAGGACUUGGAGUCUCUACAAGCAGCAACUUGUGGGGAAGGCAAACAAAUGGCAGAUAAAGGAUGGUAAAGGAGGUGGUGUUACAUUUCUGUACUGCUGGUGCAUUGAGAGACCCAAGCAAGUAUCAGGCUUUUCAUCCGUGGAACACAUGCUCCAGAACCUUCUAGCUGUUCACUUGUGAUGGAUACUCUGUUAGCCUUCACUAUUGAAUGCACUUUUAAAAAUGAUCAAAACCAACAUUUCCCACAGUAUGAAAUGUUUGCAAAAAAGUGUAAACUUAUUACUCAUCCAAGAUGUGGGCCAAUGCUUCUUUUCAAACUUGUGCUAACUAAUAACAGAGACCAGAGCUGGAACUUAGUCAAGGCAAAGCUACAAGCCAAACAGUGGUGGAGAAGGGUGGAACAUGUCGUGACUUGAGGUAAUGAUGAGCAUGUGGGUGAAGUGAGGGGCAGUAAGACCAUAUGGGGAACGCUGAGGCCAAGUGGGUGUGUGUCAAUGGAGGGCAUGCAUGCAUAGGGUUGGGCACUGGGCACUCCCCGUAUAACCACUAACAGAUUAAAAACUCUGGUACUUUUGCUGAUUCCUUAAAUAAGGGAAUAUAUGGAAUUUUGUAUAAGUCUCAGUUGUGAUGAAUUGUUCCUCAGUUGUGAUGAAUUGUUUCUGCAGUUAACCAAAUUGGGAUUUGGAACAUUUAAAAGCCUGAUAUACAAUGUACAAAAUUCAGUAGCACUUCUGUACUUCUUUUUUUGUUUUUUUGAGUCAGGGUCUCACUCUGUCACCAGGCUGGAGUGUAGUGGUGCGAUC
Molecule: long non-coding RNA, 1735 nt
Filed under: Homo sapiens (human)
Lineage: Eukaryota; Metazoa; Chordata; Mammalia; Primates; Hominidae
Description: HSALNT0315795
Source: RNAcentral